CGAAACCAAAGACUGGCGACCGGCGCACGGGUGAGUAACACGUAUCCAACCUGCCUCAUACUCGGGGAUAGCCUUUCGAAAGAAAGAUUAAUAUCCGAUAGCAUAUAUUUCCCGCAUGGGUUUUAUAUUAAAGAAAUUCGGUAUGAGAUGGGGAUGCGUUCCAUUAGUUUGUUGGGGGGGUAACGGCCCACCAAGACUACGAUGGAUAGGGGUUCUGAGAGGAAGGUCCCCCACAUUGGAACUGAGACACGGUCCAA
RNAcentral lists this ribosomal RNA (257 nucleotides) under uncultured bacterium. Its description in RNAcentral is "partial 16S ribosomal RNA". It matches the Rfam family "Bacterial small subunit ribosomal RNA", at positions 77 to 334 of the family's 1533-position model. The record is from RNAcentral.